RNAcentral lists this ribosomal RNA (490 nucleotides) under uncultured bacterium. Its description in RNAcentral is "partial 16S ribosomal RNA". It matches the Rfam family "Bacterial small subunit ribosomal RNA", at positions 29 to 507 of the family's 1533-position model. The record is from RNAcentral.
AAUGAACGCUGGCGGCAUGCCUUACACAUGCAAGUCGAACGGCAGCAUGACCUAGCUUGCUAGGUUGAUGGCGAGUGGCGCACGGGUGAGUAAUGCAUCGGAACGUGCCUUUUAGUGGGGGAUAACGUAGCGAAAGUUACGCUAAUACCGCAUAUUCUCUGAGGAGGAAAGCAGGGGGCCUUCGGGCCUUGCGCUAGAAGAGCGGCCGAUGUCGGAUUAGCUAGUUGGUGAGGUAAAGGCUCACCAAGGCAACGAUCCGUAGCGGGUCUGAGAGGAUGAUCCGCCACACUGGGACUGAGACACGGCCCAGACUCCUACGGGAGGCAGCUGUGGGGAAUUUUGGACAAUGGGCGCAAGCCUGAUCCAGCCAUGCCGCGUGAGUGAAGAAGGCCUUCGGGUUGUAAAGCUCUUUCGGCUGGGAAGAAAUCGCACUCUCUAAUACAGGGUGUGGAUGACGGUACCAGCAUAAGAAGCACCGGCUAACUACGUG